This 301-nucleotide ribosomal RNA is filed under the name uncultured bacterium. RNAcentral describes it as "partial 16S ribosomal RNA". It matches the Rfam family "Bacterial small subunit ribosomal RNA", at positions 509 to 807 of the family's 1533-position model. The record is from RNAcentral.
CAGUCGCCGCGGUAAUACGGAGGGAGCUAGCGUUAUUCGGAAUUACUGGGCGUAAAGCGCACGUAGGCGGCUUUGUAAGUUAGAGGUGAAAGCCUGGAGCUCAACUCCAGAAUUGCCUUUAAGACUGCAUCGCUUGAAUCCAGGAGAGGUGAGUGGAAUUCCGAGUGUAGAGGUGAAAUUCGUAGAUAUUCGGAAGAACACCAGUGGCGAAGGCGGCUCACUGGACUGGUAUUGACGCUGAGGAGCGAAAGCGUGGGGAGCGAACAGGAUUAGAUACCCCGGUAGUCCCUGUCUCUUAUAC